This 472-nucleotide ribosomal RNA is filed under the name uncultured bacterium. RNAcentral's name for it is "bacterial SSU rRNA". It matches the Rfam family "Bacterial small subunit ribosomal RNA", at positions 355 to 825 of the family's 1533-position model. The record is from RNAcentral.
UAGGGAAUAUUGGACAAUGGGGGAAACCCUGAUCCAGCGAUGCCGCGUGUGUGAAGAAGGCCUUAGGGUUGUAAAGCACUUUAAUGAGGGAGGAUUAGGAUGCGUUGAAUAGACGUGUCUGAGGACGUUACCUCAAGAAUAAGCACCGGCUAACUCUGUGCCAGCAGCCGCGGUAAUACAGAGGGUGCGAGCGUUAAUCGGAAUUACUGGGCGUAAAGCGUGCGCAGGCGGUUUGGUAAGACAGAUGUGAAAUCCCCGGGCUUAACCUGGGAACUGCAUUUGUGACUGCCAGACUAGAGUGUAGCAGAGGGGGGUAGAAUUCCACGUGUAGCAGUGAAAUGCGUAGAUAUGUGGAGGAAUACCGAUGGCGAAGGCAGCCCCCUGGGCUAACACUGACGCUCAUGCACGAAAGCGUGGGGAGCAAACAGGAUUAGAUACCCUGGUAGUCCCUGAGCGGGCUGGCAAGGCGCAU